CCGGAAUAUAGAUUAUCUUAGCUGUAUUUGGCAAAACUUUUAGGAUUUUUUUGUCCUCAAUGCUCUUCAUUUUACUUUAUUUUGUCCUAUUUUAACCUGCUUGGUUCGGAGUAUCCAGUUCAAAUUAAUAUGGCUAUUUAUUUGGUACACCUUCAACAGAUACUGUAAAUUACACGGACAUGUUUGUUAGCAAGAGAUCAAUGAAAUAUUGGACAACAUUUGAUAAAUUGUCAUCAAAGGUACCAGGCUUAUUAGUUGACACACCAGACGCACGUUUCGUCUACAUCAGACUCAUAUCAAAAUAGUUGGAAAGCUAAACAAGUAUAAUGUUGAAGAGCAUUGAAGACCCAAAAUUCUAAAAUAUUGUGCCAAAUACGACUAAGGUAAUAUAUGCCUGGGAUAAGAGUCCUUAGUAUUUUGAAUUAUUUGUACUUUUGCAAACAGAUGAUUUUAAAAUAACCAUAUAAUUGAUAUGCAUGUCAACACCGAAAUGUUGACUACUGGGCUCGUGGUAAAACAAGAGAUUAUCCUGUCUUCGUUAAUUUUUUCAUAGUAGCAUGAUAUUAGUCUUCUAGGACAGAAUGUAUUAAACCUUUUUUGGUUAUUAAUUGCUUUCAAAUCAUAUUACUUUUAACAUAUCUCUGUUGUUUUAUUGCACAAGUGGGUAUAAGUUCCAGACAUUAUUUCAACAUUUUAUAGAUGUCUUAAAACCAUUUCAGCGUCUUAUCCAGAUGAAAUAUAUGUUUUAUGUAAUUGGACGUUCAAUUCAAAUGAAAGAAAUAACCCAUUAUCUUUUGAUUAAUUGCCAAUGUUACUGAACCACAAAAAUGAGGUCAUAUACAAAGAACACAUUACAGGGGUACACUGAAGAAGAGGUGACAUAUUAAACCUUAGGAAAAAAUGGCUUAUAUCAAUAAUCGAUAAACUGUUGGCGCCGCCAGAAAGCAUUUCCAUGUCCCUCUUUCUGUAACUUUUGUCACUUGCCUGUUUUACCCAACAUAUGUUGUGCCUAGACGAUUGCAAGUCAGGUUAUCUGGACCAAGUGUUGUUACAUGUUGCUUGUCUUUGUUAAUACAUUCAUUUUUGAGAUUUGAGGUAAAAAGUAAAAUGACAAAAUAC
RNAcentral lists this long non-coding RNA (1119 nucleotides) under Mytilus galloprovincialis (Mediterranean mussel). Lineage: Eukaryota; Metazoa; Mollusca; Bivalvia; Mytilida; Mytilidae. The record is from RNAcentral.